This 72-nucleotide transfer RNA is filed under the name Camelus bactrianus (Bactrian camel). It matches the Rfam family "tRNA". Rfam says of the family: Transfer RNA (tRNA) molecules are approximately 80 nucleotides in length. Their secondary structure includes four short double-helical elements and three loops (D, anti-codon, and T loops). Further hydrogen bonds mediate the characteristic L-shaped molecular structure. tRNAs have two regions of fundamental functional importance: the anti-codon, which is responsible for specific mRNA codon recognition, and the 3' end, to which the tRNAs corresponding amino acid is attached (by aminoacyl-tRNA synthetases). tRNAs cope with the degeneracy of the genetic code in two manners: having more than one tRNA (with a specific anti-codon) for a particular amino acid; and 'wobble' base-pairing, i.e. permitting non-standard base-pairing at the 3rd anti-codon position. The record is from Rfam by way of RNAcentral. Lineage: Eukaryota; Metazoa; Chordata; Mammalia; Artiodactyla; Camelidae. RNAcentral also lists the same sequence under 3 other names.
GGGAGUAUAGCUCAGUGAUAGAGCAAGUAUUUGAUGUGCACAAGGUCCUGGGUUCAAUCCUCAGUGCCUCUG